Molecule: ribosomal RNA, 502 nt
Filed under: uncultured bacterium
Lineage: Bacteria
Description: bacterial SSU rRNA
Rfam family: Bacterial small subunit ribosomal RNA
Source: RNAcentral
UAAGAGUUUGAUCAUGGCUCAGAUUGAACGCUGGCGGCGUGCUUAACACAUGCAAGUCGAGCGGUAACAGGCGUAGCAAUACGUGCUGACGAGCGGCGAACGGGUGCGUAAUACAUGGGAAUCUGCCCUUUGGUGGGGAAUAACCCGGCGAAAGCCGGGCUAAUGCCGCAUGAGAUCUUCGGAUGAAAGCGGGGGAUCGUAAGACCUCGCGCCGAUGGAUGAGCCCAUGUCGGAUUAGCUAGUUGGUGAGGUAACGGCUCACCAAGGCGACGAUCCGUAGCUGGUCUGAGAGGACGGCCAGCCACACUGGGACUGAGACACGGCCCAGACUCCUACGGGAGGCAGCAGUGGGGAAUAUUGGGCAAUGGGCGCAAGCCUGACCCAGCCAUGCCGCGUGAGUGACGACGGCCUUAGGGUUGUAAAGCUCUUUUGGCGGGGACGAUAAUGACGGUACCCGCAGAAUAAGCCCCGGCUAACUUCGUGCCAGCAGCCGCGGUAAUAC